RNAcentral lists this ribosomal RNA (407 nucleotides) under uncultured bacterium. RNAcentral's name for it is "partial 16S ribosomal RNA". It matches the Rfam family "Bacterial small subunit ribosomal RNA", at positions 30 to 526 of the family's 1533-position model. The record is from RNAcentral.
AUUGAACGCUGGCGGCAGGCUUAACACAUGCAAGUCGAGCGGAGCGGCGGUCGGGUGAGUAAUGCUUAGGAAUCUGCCUAGUAGUGGUGGACAACAUCGCGAAAGGGAUGCUAAUACCGCAUAUUAAUAGAUGAGCCUAAGUCGGAUUAGCUAGUUGGGGGGGUAAAGGCCUACCAAGGCGACGAUCGGUAGCGGGUCUGAGAGGCUGAUCCGCCACACUGGGACUGAGACACGGCCCAGACUCCUACGGGAGGCAGCAGUAGGGAAUAUGUGGCAAUGGGGGGAACCCUGAUCCAGCAACGCCGCGUGUGUGAAGAAGGCCUUAUGGUUGUAAAGCACUUUAAGCGAGGAGGCGUUACUCGCAGAAUAAGCACCGGCUAACUCUGUGCCAGCAGCCGCGGUAAUUC